AAUCGUAUAGUUUAAAUAAAAAUGUUAAAUUGCAAGUUUAAAGAUGGUUAAUUCCUAAGAUUU
This 63-nucleotide transfer RNA is filed under the name Ornithodoros moubata. RNAcentral's name for it is "tRNA-Cys". The record is from RNAcentral. Lineage: Eukaryota; Metazoa; Arthropoda; Arachnida; Ixodida; Argasidae.